This is a long non-coding RNA of Oncorhynchus tshawytscha (Chinook salmon), 1031 nucleotides long. NCBI's taxonomy places the organism in Eukaryota, Metazoa, Chordata, Actinopteri, Salmoniformes, Salmonidae. The record is from Ensembl.
CAACAAUCACCACCACCAACAAUCACCACCACCAACCACCAACAAUCACCACCACCACCAACAAUCACAACACCACCAAUCACCACCACCAACAAUCACCACCACCAACCACAAACAAUCACCACCACCAACAACAACCAAUUACCACCAGCAACAACCAACCACCACCACCACCAACAACAACCACCACCACAACAACGACCCACCACCAACAAUCACCACCACCAUCAAUCACCAACCACAAACAAUCACCACCACCACCAACCACCACCAACAACAAACAACCACCACCAACAAUCACGACCACCAACAACCACAACAAUCACCACCACCAACAAUCACCACCACCAACCACAAACAAUCACCACAACCAACCACCAACAAAAACCAACCACCACCAACAACAACCAACCAACCACCACCAACAACCAACCACCACCAACAACCAACCACCACCAACAACCAACCACCACCAACAACCAACCACCACCAACAACCAACCACCACCAACAACCAACCACCAACAACCAACAACCAACCAACAAACCAACCAACAAACCAACAACCACAACAACCAACAAACCAACCACCAACAACAACCAACCAACCAACCACCACCAACAAAAACCACCACCAACAACCAUCCACCACCAACAACCAUCCACUACCAACAACCAUCCACCACCAACAACCAUCCACCACCAACAACCAACCACCACCAACAAAAACCACCACCAACAACCAUCCACCACCACCCACAACCAUCCACCACCAACAACCACCACCACACACAACCAACCACCACCACAACAACGACCCACCACCAACAAUCACCACCACCAUCAAUCACCAACCACAAACAAUCACCACCACCACCAACCACCACCAACAACAAACAACCACCACCAACAACCAUCCACCACCAACAACCACCACCACACACAACCAACCACCACCACCCACAACCACCACCCAACAACCAACCACCACCACCACAACCAUCCACAACCAACCACCACCACCCACAACCA